Molecule: ribosomal RNA, 340 nt
Filed under: Nostoc sp. 3335mG
Lineage: Bacteria; Bacillati; Cyanobacteriota; Cyanophyceae; Nostocales; Nostocaceae
Description: bacterial LSU rRNA
Rfam family: Bacterial large subunit ribosomal RNA
Source: RNAcentral
GUGGACUCUCAAGUGUGAGGUAAGGGCAUUUGGUGGAUGCCUUGGCAUGUACAGGCGAUGAAGGACGUGGCACGCUGCGAUAAGCGUCGGUGAGGUGUGAGCAACCUUUGACCCGACGAUUUCCGAAUGGGGAAACCCACCUUCACCAAUUAAUUCAGCCGGUGAGCGAUCACUGGCCGAGUUAAUUGAGGAAGGUAUCACCGAAGUGAAUACAUAGCUUUGGUGAAGCGAACCCGGGGAACUGAAACAUCUCAGUACCUGGAGGAAAAGACAUCAACCGAGAUUCCGUUAGUAGUGGCGAGCGAACGCGGACCAGGCCAGUGCCUGAUAUUCAACUAGC